This is a non-coding RNA of Myodes glareolus (Bank vole), 1033 nucleotides long. The record is from RefSeq and is a predicted model, not a curated record. Lineage: Eukaryota; Metazoa; Chordata; Mammalia; Rodentia; Cricetidae.
UCUCUCACUCAACAGCCUCAUUCCCAAAUCCAAGGGCCUGGUGAGAACAGAAGUCACUUCCCAAGGUUCAGAUGAAGAGACUAUCAUGAAAUAAUGUGCUGUAGAUGUAUGGGAAGGAUUGGUCAGAAUGAAGAAGUACAGUGAGGCCUCCCCAAAAUAGUAACUGUCAAGUCCUUACCAUUCCCCAAGUGUAGAGGGGCAGAGGAGGUACUUGAGCCACAGUUAAGUUCUCAUCAGAAGGAUCAGAAUAGAAAUUCUAAAACAGAGAAAGAAGAAACAGAGCAAGAAAAAAAGCCCAUGGCUCUUUCUCUUCUUGCCCUCUGACUUCUUGGCACUUCUCACUGUCCUGAGGUUACAGUCUGUCUGACUAAUAAAGCAAGAGAAGAGGCAGGAGAAUCACCUCCCAGGCUCAGGGCAAAUGGGAGAUGACAGCAGAGGGUAAGGGUCUCCUAGAACCCAGCCUGACUUGGAAUUCACUACGUGGCCAAGGAUGGUCCUUGCAUUCCUGAUCCUCCUGACUCCAUCUCCCAAGUGCUGGGGUCACAGGGUACUAGGGUGGUGACAGCCAUACAGCAAAUGCCUGUCAUGCACUACGUAUGCAGUGAACGUCAACGGAAUAGCGUUGUCCAGAUCGUAUGUCAGAAUUGUGACAUUGUGUAUGGAGACCAUGCAUCUAAAGAAAAAUAAUAAUAUGUAUAAUUCUGAGGCAGCACUUAAGAAAACUCAUUUGAUCUUUAUUUUUUUUCUUUGUAGUAUGAUUUUAUCUAAGAGAAUAACCAAGCCUUUAUAUAAAGUUUGCAUUAAGAGCUGUUCCACUCCUUUUCCACUUCAAAGGAAAAUGUCUACUGUGCGCUGGCAAUCUAAAACUGAACAACUGAAGGCAAGCCUUAUGCUUAUUUCUUUCGCUGCUGUUUCUAUGGCAAUAUCACAACACCACCUGUUUGGGUCUGUGAUGAUCUUGGUGCCAGAAUAUUACUCAUUUUGACAUCUUUUUUUUUAAUUGAGGAAAAAUAACAAAGGGACAGAAAGUACU